GCCCGGCUAGCUCAGUCGGUAGAACAUAGGACUCUUGAUCUCAGGGUCGUGGGUUCGAGCCCCANGUUGGGCG
RNAcentral lists this transfer RNA (73 nucleotides) under Bactrocera latifrons. RNAcentral describes it as "tRNA-Lys". It matches the Rfam family "tRNA". From Rfam's summary of the family: Transfer RNA (tRNA) molecules are approximately 80 nucleotides in length. Their secondary structure includes four short double-helical elements and three loops (D, anti-codon, and T loops). The record is from RNAcentral. Lineage: Eukaryota; Metazoa; Arthropoda; Insecta; Diptera; Tephritidae.